GAAACAAUAAAAAUAUAUGUGCGUACAGUCGAGGCGUCUACGGCGUUUUUUUUUGUUUAUUAUCUAUAUAUUUAACCAGGCGUGCUUAAUUUUCUAGCGCCACUCACAAUCUGGCCGAUGAAUUGAUUAGUAUAGCUCUAAAACUAGAAAAAAAACUUCAUUAGCACUUUUUUUUUUCGAACGAUAUCUGCUUUGGAUUUUUGUACUAAUGGAACAUAAAGUACUGACUAUUAGCGUUCAGAAAAAAGAUGAAACUAAUAGUGGAAUAGGAGGAGGAGGAGGAGGAGAAGGAGGAAAAGGAGGUUCAAGCAUUCAAGAAAGAAGAAUGAAAGGUAAAUUCCAUGGUAUUGCUUUAAGAAUUCUUGCCAAAGUUAUGGCAGGAGAGAAGCUUGACGUAGAGGAAGAGAAGGAAGAAAAACGGAAGAUAACUUCCUCGUCACAAAAAAUUGAGAAUAUUUCACCGAAAUCGCCAAAAACUCCAAAAACACCUCUUACACCAAAACGAACUGAGUCCAGAAAACAAUUAUAUAGACGUAAAGGCGUAGAUUUUCGUAAUGUUGUACGAUUAGCAAGUAUGAAACACUUCAAUAGAGUUUUAGGUACAACAACAGAAAAAAAUGAAGUACUUGAAGAGGAUAGCCUGCCGAAGUUGCCUCCAAGACCUCGUUUUUCAGCCACUUUAUCACCGGAAGCUCAAUUAGUUACUUUAAUGUGUUAUGAGGAGGCGAUCAGUGAGAAAUUAUCAACAACUAAUAAUCAACCUAAGAAUGAGAAAAGAUUAUUAAAUAAAAGAUCAAGCAUUGACGAUCAGAGGAGACUUUUAGUCUCUUCAAGAGUAGAAAGAGCAAUGAGUUUACUUGAUAUAGCUAAAAAAGAGGAUACUAAAGUACUCAGACAUUUUAAAUCAUGGACUUUGGCAUGGAGUAAAGAUUUCGAAUAAAACUUUUCUCCCCAUUUCCUUUCUCAUUUAAUAUUAAAAUACCUAAAAAUUCUUUCUUAUCGUUUUUUUUUAAAUCAAAGAUUUUACCUUUCACAGAAAUCAUUUAAUAAUUUAUUGGUUUUAAAUAAAUAACAGUAAUGAUAAUAAGAGAGAAAAACUGCAAAGGGUUAUAAUCAUAAUUAAAUUAAAACUCUUAAUUAUAUUCAUCCUAAUCGACCGAUUAGAUAGGUGUUAGAAAAUUAUUAAAAAUCACAGAUACCCUUAUUGCCCUUAUUUGAAUAGCAAAAGAAAAAAAAACACAGGAUAUUAAUUUAAUAAAGUAAAAACUUUUAGCUGAUACAAAAGUGAUGAUGAGAUAAAAAGAAAAUGCGCGUGUAAGUUAGAAUUCAUUUGCUUCUUCCAUUUUUAGCUAUCUAUCAGUAUUUCUUCUCUCUUUUCUUUUAUUGUUCGUCCUUUUUUUUUCCUCUUGUACUAUUUUUUUAUUCCAUGAUGAAUUCGAAAAACUGCGCCGUUUUAAUCGAUUUGAAUGACUUCUAAGAAACGGAAGAGAGAAAGCUAAGCAGACUAGCAACGACGAUCUUGCAGUACCACCUCAAGAAUCUUUUCUAUAUUUUUUCUGUUGUCUAUAUUUUACCUUUUUUUCAUACAAACUCCAGUAAUUUUCAUUUACAAAAAUUCCUUUUUUCAUACAGAACAUUAGAAAAUUUUCCUUAAUGGCACCACAAUAGAAUUAAGAGCGAUAUUGUAAGAACAGUGUAUUAUGGAAAAGGCCAAAUCUUUAAAUACUUUAAAUUAGAUUAAAAAAAUAAGAAAAAGUAAUGAGAAAACGAGAUCGAUUGAAAGAAAUUAAGAAGAAAAAUCCUUGAAGAGUUCAUUAUGUAAAUUAGUUGUACAAAAUCAUUAAUUUUCAACUUCUAUUCUAAUAUUAUGUAAAAAUUACGUUAGAUAAACAGUCUAUUUGCAUAUUUAAUGAAAAUGUGAUAGGAAGAAAUAUUAUCAAGCUUUUUUAAAAUACUAUCGGAUGUAUUUUAUUAAUGUGUCUACUAUAACUCGACAGAUGAUAGUAGUUGUUGUGAGUAUCUAGUUUGUUGACAAUUGACCGUUGAAGGUUACUUUUCCAGAAACAGUCUCGUUUACUCUAUCCAAUUCAAAAUCAAGUUUUAUACUAAUAAAACAGUAAAUCUAUUCUAGAACAAAAGGCUAAAAAUAUCGCAAACAAUUAAUGACCUUUUCUAGGUUCUUUUUUUUACGUCCACUACUUAGCCUAUUACAUAAUGCAAAGUAUAACAUGUUACAAAAAAACACACUAUCGACAUCUAUUGGAAGUCCUAUACUAGAAUUAAUAUAAUUAUUAUUCUAGACAGGUCAAACUAAAGUCCAGAGAGAAUGUUGUGUCAUGUUUUGUAAAGAAUAAUGUAUAAUAAUCUUUAACAAAUCUCCCAAUGGCUUUUUCUAAAUUAUCAUUAGUUUACCAAGAGAGAAUAAAACAUCAAAAGAUAGAUCAUUUUAGAAAAAUUUUUUCUUCUUUUUUGUAACGGAUAUUGUAAUUUCAUGGUUUUAACAAUUGUUGCAAUUUUAUCGAUUACUUUACUUAUUGUCCUUAUCCUAUUCUCUUUAUUCAAAAGUGUCUGACUAUUUAUAUAAUCAUAUUCGUCUUUUUUUUUCAAAUGUAACAACUCUAGUAAACCAAAUAUAUAGAGCUAAUAAACAAAAAAACAUACAUUUUGAUAUAAUAGACACAAAAAAUCCCCAGUGAAAAAGUUACUUUUAAAUUGAAGGAAGAUUGAUUUCCUUAUGAUCGAUUCCAUUGACUUAUAAUUUC
Molecule: unclassified non-coding RNA, 2762 nt
Filed under: Dimorphilus gyrociliatus
Lineage: Eukaryota; Metazoa; Annelida; Polychaeta; Dinophilidae
Description: dgyrCDS12485
Source: RNAcentral